RNAcentral lists this ribosomal RNA (481 nucleotides) under uncultured bacterium. RNAcentral describes it as "partial 16S ribosomal RNA". It matches the Rfam family "Bacterial small subunit ribosomal RNA", at positions 28 to 507 of the family's 1533-position model. The record is from RNAcentral.
GAUGAACGCUGGCGGCGUGCUUAACACAUGCAAGUCGAACGAAGCACUUUUUUUGAUUUCCUUCGGGACUGAUUAUUUUGUGACUGAGUGGCGGACGGGUGAGUAACGCGUGGUUAACCUGCCUUGUACAGGGGGAUCACAGUUGGAAACGGCUGCUAAUACCCCAUAAGCGCACAGCAUCGCAUGAUGCAGUCUGAAAAACUCCGGUGGGAUAAGAUGGACCCGCGUUGGAUUAGCAAGUUGGUGAGGUAACGGCCCACCAAGGCGACGAUCCAUAGCCGAGAUGAGAGGGUGACCGGACACAUUGGGACUGAGACACGGCCCAAACUCCUACGGGAGGCAGCAGUGGGGAAUAUUGCACAAUGGGCGAAAGCCUGAUGCAGCGACGCCGGGUGAGCGAAGAAGUAUGUCGGUAUGUAAAGCUCUAUCAGAAGGGAAGAUAAUGACGGUACCUGACGAAGAAGCACCGGCUAAAUACGUG